This 326-nucleotide unclassified non-coding RNA is filed under the name uncultured Paraglomus. RNAcentral's name for it is "sequence contains ITS2". Lineage: Eukaryota; Fungi; Glomeromycota; Glomeromycetes; Paraglomerales; Paraglomeraceae. The record is from RNAcentral.
AACGCAAAUUGCGCCUUCUUUCGGAAGGCAUGUCUGUUUGAGGGCACCAUUUAACAAAUAAUGUGCGCGUCGUUUUUACGAGCGAUGUGCACACGUUGAUGAGCUUUUCCGAAAAAACCCGGUUUUUUUGGUGGCGCAUAAUGAACAGCGUGGGCUUUUUCUUCGAUUCUCGUGUAGUAAAUGUUCAACGCUUGGGUUGAGAAAAAGUGCGUGCCGCGCAAUGGGUGUGGCGAAUUUUACCCCUGCCCCAAUGCCACUCUUUCCCUGCGAAAGAACAAUCUUUUAUUUAGGGCCUCAAAUCAGACAAGAGUACCCGCUGAACUUAA